AGUGAACGCUGGCGGUAGGCCUAACACAUGCACGUCGAACGGCAGCACAGUAAGAGCUUGCUCUUACGGGUGGCGAGUGGCGGACGGGUGAGGAAUACAUCGGAAUCUACUUUUUCGUGGGGGAUAACGUAGGGAAACUUACGCUAAUACCGCAUACGACCUACGGGUGAAAGCAGGGGAUCUUCGGACCUUGCGCGAUUGAAUGAGCCGAUGUCGGAUUAGCUAGUUGGCGGGGUAAAGGCCCACCAAGGCGACGAUCCGUAGCUGGUCUGAGAGGAUGAUCAGCCACACUGGAACUGAGACGCGGUCCAGACUCCUACGGGAGGCAGCAGUGGGGAAUAUUGGACAAUGGGCGCAAGCCUGAUCCAGCCAUACCGCGUGGGUGAAGAAGGCCUUCGGGUUGUAAAGCCCUUUUGUUGGGAAAGAAAAGCAGCAGGUUAAUACCCCGCUGUUCUGACGGUACCCAAAGAAUAAGCACCGGCUAACUUCGU
RNAcentral lists this ribosomal RNA (491 nucleotides) under uncultured bacterium. RNAcentral describes it as "partial 16S ribosomal RNA". It matches the Rfam family "Bacterial small subunit ribosomal RNA", at positions 29 to 506 of the family's 1533-position model. The record is from RNAcentral.